GUCAAUCAGAUAUCUCCGCAUUUUCUCAAUAUAAAUCCAUCAAACAUAUAAUCCACAAAUCCAAUUAUGAAAGAAAAGAUAACCAAACAAAACCUGAUUACGAAAUUUGAUUCAUCAUAGAAAAAUUAAACAGCAAACAGGGAAAAGGUUAAACACUUCGAUUACUUGAUAACUUUUUUUUAAAUAAAAGUAUUAGAUUUAUUGAUAGACACGAAGGGGGUGCAAACCCAUAUGCAAAAUAUUUAUAUAUCAAUCAAAAUAUCAAUAAGGUUCCAAAAUCCUCAAGAUUAAAAGGAUGACCCUUAAUUAAGAAACCCAGAGUUUAGAACCAACUAUCCUUGACCCUAUCAAAACCUCCUUCAUUGCCCUUAAAAGCAUUUCAAUUUCUUUCCUUACAGACUAUCCAAAAGAUGGCAAGGGAAUAAGGCUGAGAUAUUUCUUCCUGCGACUGAUACUCUUUUACGCCCAAAUUUCCUCCUUCACCGAGCCGACCGUUUACCCAAUUAAUAUCCAAGAUGCCAUAAGCAAGGAUCCAUAGUCUGUAAGCAAAGGGACACCACAGAAGAAUGUGAUUGCACGACUCUGCAUUCUUUUACACAAGUAACAUCCAUUCACCAGAAUCCUUCCCCUCCUAAUCAGCUUAUCCAGAGUUACAAUACACCCUUCAACUGCCUCCCAUGCAAAAAAGACUAUUCUAGGUGAAGCAUUGACCUUCAAGAUUUGCUUGAAAGGAAAGUAUAUAGUCGUGAUCUCCCUUCUAGUCAGGUAAUUGUAAAAAGAUCUAACAAAGAAAAUCCCACUAACAUCGAGGCUCCAAUUGGGUCAGUCUUCUGUCCCAGCCGGUGUAGCCUUGGCAAGAGUGAACAACAAGGCUUUACACUCCCUAAUUUUUCAAUCAUUAAGAUUCCUUAUGACCUCCAUAAAACACUCUGCGUUCUCCAUAUUGCCAAUGUAGGAAUCCUCUAUCAAUGCAUCCUUGUACCGAGCAAUUACAUAAAUCUGAAAAAAUUGAUCUCUGAGAAUACCACCCUCCAACCACACAUCAUGCUAUAGAUUGACUCUAUUGCCAAUUUCAAUCUUCCAUAUGAUGCAGGCUUGGAACUUCUUCUUGUCCAUGCAUAUUUUCUUCCACAUCCUGUUACCAUGGGAUCUAAACACCUCCAUAGUGAACCAACCCUAUGUUCACAGUACCGAAAACUUAGCCUCAAUCACCGUCCACCAAAGAGUCUCAUUUCAUUCAUGAAUCUCCGAAGUCAUUUCCCUUGCAAGGCCCUAUUAACCUCCACCAGUGAUCUUAGACACAGCCCCCCAAGUUGAAUUGGCUUUUUGACCUUAUCCCAUGCCACAGGGUUAUAUCUCCUAUUCCCUUCAAAGCCACUCUAUAAAAAUCUGCAGUAGAUGGACUCCAAUCUCUUAGCCACACUCCGAGGUAUUCAUUCAUGAAUCUCCAAAGUCAUUUCCCUUGCAAAGCCCUAUUAACCUCCACCAAUGAUCUUAGACACAGCCCCCCAAGUUGAAUUGGCUUUUUGACCUUAUCCCAUGCCACACGAUAAUAUCUCCUAUUCCCUUCAAAGUCACUCUAUCAAAAUCUGCACUAGAUGGACUCCAAUCUCUUGACCACACUCCNN
This 1628-nucleotide long non-coding RNA is filed under the name Carica papaya (papaya). RNAcentral's name for it is "long non-coding RNA (CPAP_LNC000674)". The record is from RNAcentral. Lineage: Eukaryota; Viridiplantae; Streptophyta; Magnoliopsida; Brassicales; Caricaceae.